RNAcentral lists this ribosomal RNA (388 nucleotides) under uncultured bacterium. RNAcentral describes it as "bacterial SSU rRNA". It matches the Rfam family "Bacterial small subunit ribosomal RNA", at positions 28 to 417 of the family's 1533-position model. The record is from RNAcentral.
GACGAACGCUGGCGGCGUGCUUAACACAUGCAAGUCGAGCGGUAAGGCCCUUUCGGGGGUACACGAGCGGCGAACGGGUGAGUAACACGUGGGUGACCUGCCCUCGGCUCUGGGAUAAGCCUGGGAAACCGGGUCUAAUACUGGAUAUGACUCCAUGACGCAUGUUGUGGGGUGGAAAGCCUUGUGCGGCUGAGGAUGGGCCCGCGGCCUAUCAGCUUGUUGGUGGGGUGAUGGCCUACCAAGGCGACGACGGGUAGCCGGCCUGAGAGGGCGACCGGCCACACUGGGACUGAGACACGGCCCAGACUCCUACGGGAGGCAGCAGUGGGGAAUCUUGCGCAAUGGGCGAAAGCCUGACGCAGCGACGCCGCGUGAGGGAUGACGGCCU